RNAcentral lists this transfer RNA (72 nucleotides) under human gut metagenome. It matches the Rfam family "tRNA". From Rfam's summary of the family: Transfer RNA (tRNA) molecules are approximately 80 nucleotides in length. Their secondary structure includes four short double-helical elements and three loops (D, anti-codon, and T loops). The record is from RNAcentral.
GGGGUGUAGCUCAGCUGGCUAGAGCGCCUGCCUUGCAAGCAGGAGGUCAUCGGUUCGAUUCCGUUCACCUCC